GUAAUAGCUCACUGGUCGAGUCGGUCCGCGCGGAAGAUGUAACGGGGCUAAAACUAUAUGCCGAAGCUGCGGAUUUGCAAUUUAUUGCAAGUGGUAGGGGAGCGUUCUGUAAGCCGAUGAAGGUGUAUUGAGAAGUAUGCUGGAGGUAUCAGAAGUGCGAAUGCUGACGUGAGUAACGACAAUGCGAGUGAAAAACUCGCACGCUGAAAGACCAAGGGUUCCAGUCCAACGUUAAUCGGGGCUGGGUGAGUCGACCCCUAAGGCGAGGCCGAGAGGCGUAGUCGAUGGGAAAUUGGUUAAUAUUCCAAUACUUCUGUGUAAUGCGAUGAGAGGACGGAGAAGGUUAAGUCAGCCUGGCGUUGGUUGUCCAGGUGGAAGGUUGUAGGCAUGUAUCUUAGGCAAAUCCGGGGUACUCUAUGCUGAGAACUGAUAGCAAGCUGUACUUGUACAGUGAAGUGGCUGAUACCAUGCUUCCAGGAAAAGUCUCUAAGCUUCAGUUACAUAGGAAUCGUACCCGAAACCGACACAGGUGGGCAGGUAGAGUAUACCAAGGCGCUUGAGAGAAGUGUCCUGAAGGAACUCGGCAAAUUGCCUCCGUACCUUCGGAAGAAGGAGGCCCUCAUUGUGCGCAAGCAUUUUGAGGGGGCACAGGCCAGGGGGUAGCGACUGUUUAGCAAAAACACAGGGCUCUGCUAAGUCGGCUUCAAGACGACGUAUAGGGUCUGACGCCUGCCCGGUGCCUGAAGGUUAAGAG
RNAcentral lists this ribosomal RNA (754 nucleotides) under Anophryoides haemophila. RNAcentral's name for it is "partial Bacterial large subunit ribosomal RNA". It matches the Rfam family "Bacterial large subunit ribosomal RNA", at positions 1134 to 1883 of the family's 2925-position model. Lineage: Eukaryota; Ciliophora; Oligohymenophorea; Philasterida; Glauconematidae. The record is from RNAcentral.